GUAGUGCACUAAUUUUGUUCUGAUCACUUGCUGUUAGAAUCCGGACAUGCAGUAUGACCUAAUAAAUCUUUCUGUAGAAUGUUGGAGUUGGGUGUCCAUAAAACAUAGCAUGUCUACAACAGUACAGAGGGACACAAAGUCCUACCAGAGGAAAAUGCUUCUCUGCUGGGUGAAAAUUUGCAGGGGGGAAAAGGGGAAAACAUGUGGGCUAAAUUGUGUUAGUACAUGCAAACAUGUUGUUGGGAAGGAACACACAAAUCCAUUGAAUACACUUAUCAUACAUUAAAAGUUUUAAUAUAAAGGAAAUUCAGCUUUGUAUUUGCUUUUCAAAGUCCCUGAUUUGCUUUAUGGUUAAAAUUAAAAAGAAUAGUAAUACUUGAUUAAUAUGUUCUAUGCAGUUGAUGAAUGAAGAGAAAUUAUAACACAACAUUCUAAAAUUGGAACGACAAUUACGGAAACCAAUGGAAUACUUCUGCACACAAGAGCAUGCAGGUAAGUGAGGCCGGUUGACAAUUACCUCCCAAACCACCAGUAAAUAGGGAUUAUGAUCUAAAUUCCAGCAGCUUUCUUCUGCAGGUUAAAAUAGCAGGAAGUGCAUUGGUAUGUCUCUUGCCAAACUACUGAUGGAGUGAGACAGAAGGCAGGAAUUGUGCAGAGCCUUUAGUAGCCAAGCAUCGUGUGGGUUUGUGCACGAGCUGAUGCCUUCAGUCUCAAUGUUCUCUAGGCCUGGACUAGCCAACAUGUCUGUCUCUUGGUGAAGUGCAGUAUCUGGGGUCAAUCAAGAAGCCAAUAUGAUAAGUUGGAUAUUCCUGGAGCUCUUUACAAGUGACUGAUGGGUGAGAUAAAAACAUGAACAUUACAUUUGUAACACAUGCUGGUAGAGACUGGUAGCAGUGGAGUUUCUGGAAACAAUCUGUGUCUCUUAGACAUGCACAACUCUUUCUGUGAAUACCCAGAUCAUAUUGGUCGAGGUUUCAGAGGUGGAUGGUGUCAACUCCAACAACAUCCAUCUGUCAAAU
Pelobates cultripes (western spadefoot toad) is the source of this 1019-nucleotide non-coding RNA. NCBI's taxonomy places the organism in Eukaryota, Metazoa, Chordata, Amphibia, Anura, Pelobatidae. The record is from the annotation of a GenBank genome assembly.